RNAcentral lists this ribosomal RNA (465 nucleotides) under Vreelandella stevensii. RNAcentral's name for it is "partial 16S ribosomal RNA". It matches the Rfam family "Bacterial small subunit ribosomal RNA", at positions 338 to 795 of the family's 1533-position model. Lineage: Bacteria; Pseudomonadati; Pseudomonadota; Gammaproteobacteria; Oceanospirillales; Halomonadaceae. The record is from RNAcentral.
CCUACGGGGGGCUGCAGUGGGGAAUAUUGGACAAUGGGCGAAAGCCUGAUCCAGCCAUGCCGCGUGUGUGAAGAAGGCCUUCGGGUUGUAAAGCACUUUCAGUGGGGAAGAAAGCCUUGGGACUAAUACCCUCGAGGAAGGACAUCACCCACAGAAGAAGCACCGGCUAACUCCGUGCCAGCAGCCGCGGUAAUACGGAGGGUGCGAGCGUUAAUCGGAAUUACUGGGCGUAAAGCGCGCGUAGGCGGUCUGAUAAGCCGGUUGUGAAAGCCCCGGGCUCAACCUGGGAACGGCAUCCGGAACUGUCAGGCUAGAGUGCAGGAGAGGAAGGUAGAAUUCCCGGUGUAGCGGUGAAAUGCGUAGAGAUCGGGAGGAAUACCAGUGGCGAAGGCGGCCUUCUGGACUGACACUGACGCUGAGGUGCGAAAGCGUGGGUAGCAAACAGGAUUAGAUACCCCUGUAGUC